This 479-nucleotide ribosomal RNA is filed under the name Mangeliidae gen. 1 sp. NP-2008. Its description in RNAcentral is "partial 16S ribosomal RNA". It matches the Rfam family "Bacterial large subunit ribosomal RNA", at positions 1845 to 2598 of the family's 2925-position model. The record is from RNAcentral. Lineage: Eukaryota; Metazoa; Mollusca; Gastropoda; Neogastropoda; Conidae.
AUAUAAAGUCAGGCCUGCCCAGUGAGAAAUUUAACGGCCGCGGUACUCUGACCGUGCAAAGGUAGCAUAAUCAUUUGCCUUUUAAUUGAAGGCUGGAAUGAAUGGUUUAACGAAGAUACAACUGUCUCCUUAUGAUUAUUUAGAAUUUUAUUUUAGGAUGAAAAAGUCCUAAUUUUAUUAAAAGACAAGAAGACCCUAUCGAGCUUAAUAUUAAUUAGUAAAUUAAAUUAUAACUAAGAAUUUGUUACUAAAAAAUUUAGUUGGGGCAACUAAGGAGUAAAUUAAGCCUCCUAAUACCAUAUAAAUUUACAUAUUUUGAUCCAUUUUUGAUUAAAGGAAAUAGUUACCGUAGGGAUAACAGCAUUAUCCUCUUUGAGAGUUCAUAUCGAAAAGAGGGUUUGUGACCUCGAUGUUGGACCAAAGUAUCCUAAAGAUGCAGAAGUCUUUAAGGGUUGGUCUGUUCGACCAUUAAAACUUUA